GAAAUGCGAUAAGUAGUGUGAAUUGCAGAAUUCAGUGAAUCAUCGAAUCUUUGAACGCACGUUGCGCCCCUUGGUAUUCCAUGGGGCAUGCCUGUUCGAGCGUCAUUUGUACCUUCAAGCUUUGCUUGGUGUUGGGUGUUUGUCUCGCCUCUGCGUGUAGACUCGCCUCAAAACAAUUGGCAGCCGGCGUAUUGAUUUCGGAGCGCAGUACAUCUCGCGCUUUGCACUCAUAACGACGACGUCCAAAAGUACAUUUUUACACUCUUGACCUCGGAUCAGGUAGGGAUACCCGCUGAACUUAAGC
Molecule: unclassified non-coding RNA, 304 nt
Filed under: plant metagenome
Description: partial contains 5.8S ribosomal RNA, internal transcribed spacer 2, and large subunit ribosomal RNA
Rfam family: 5.8S ribosomal RNA (bases 1-105)
Source: RNAcentral